RNAcentral lists this ribosomal RNA (467 nucleotides) under uncultured bacterium. RNAcentral describes it as "partial 16S ribosomal RNA". It matches the Rfam family "Bacterial small subunit ribosomal RNA", at positions 28 to 507 of the family's 1533-position model. The record is from RNAcentral.
GACGAACGCUGGCGGCGUGCUUAACACAUGCAAGUCGAACGGAAAGGCCCUGCUUUUGUGGGGUGCUCGAGUGGCGAACGGGUGAGUAACACGUGAGUACCUGCCCUUGACUUUGGGAUAACUUCAGGAAACUGGGGCUAAUACCGGAUAGGAGCUCCUGCUUCAUGGUGGGGGUUGGAAAGUUUCGGCGGUUGGGGAUGGACUCGCGGCUUAUCAGCUUGUUGGUGGGGUAGUGGCUUACCAAGGCUUUGACGGGUAGCUGGCCUGAGAGGGUGACCGGCCACAUUGGGACUGAGAUACGGCCCAGACUCCUACGGGAGGCAGCAGUGGGGGAUAUUGCACAAUGGGCGGAAGCCUGAUGCAGCAACGCCGCGUGCGGGAUGACGGCCUUCGGGUUGUAAACCGCUUUCGCCUGUGACGAAGCGUGAGUGACGGUAAUGGGUAAAGAAGCACCGGCUAACUACGUG